This is a long non-coding RNA of Mercenaria mercenaria, 991 nucleotides long. RefSeq lists it as uncharacterized. The record is from RefSeq and is a predicted model, not a curated record. The transcript is spliced from 3 exons. NCBI's taxonomy places the organism in Eukaryota, Metazoa, Mollusca, Bivalvia, Venerida, Veneridae.
UUUAAUGGAGUUCAAUGUCUUUACAUGUGAAAAAGUAAGCGAACCAGAAACGUUCAAAUAUUUUCAACGCAGUAGGUUUGUUAAAAUUGUGAAUACUUCGAAGUGAAAAAUUUUUCUAUUUGGAUAUAGGUUACGGAUGAAAUAGGAUAUAAAAGUAUUUUUUGAAACUUCGGAGGUUUUAUUAUGGCAGGCAAAAUAUUGCAAGCAUUGUUUUGCUUACUUGGCGUAUUAACCGGACAUACAUUUGCCCGUAUGUGUGAAAAGACAUAUGAUAGCCGCACCGGACUGCAGUGUUAUCCGUGCCAGCCGGGAUUUGAAAAAGUCAAGGACUGCGUUGAGAAUGCAACACAAGCAGAAUGUGUUACAUGCAAAGAGGGGUUUUAUCAACCACAGUGCAGUGGUGUUGAGGAAGGACAAUGCCGUUUGUGCAGCGAGUGUUUUAUAUAUCAGCAGCAUUGUAAUGCAACACAUAAUGCUAUUUGUACUGAUAAGGAAACUGAAGGUAUUUUUGUUUCCUUACAAAACGGCUUGUUUAGGAGAUUUUGUUACUGCUUAUUCAGCUAAAAAUGGAAUUUUAAGGUUUUUGAAUUACAAAUGUACUAAUAUAAAAGUUAAUGUCUUUUUAUCGACAAAACGGAAUAUAUUUGAACUUGUGUAAAGUUGAAAAUCAUAUUAACCUCGCUUAUCGGCUCGUCCAAUAUGGGUUUUGCAACAGGGCAAUUAUCUAAAUAUGACUCUUAUUUUACAGAACUUUGGCAAUGUUAAAUAUAACCGUAAAGUAUAUAUAGAUAUCAUUGACUGUCGAUUUGUACUAAAUUCCGACAAGAAACGGUACUUUGUCAUUAUCUUAAUAUCUGCUCAAUGUACAUUUUUGCAAGCUUUAUUGUGGAAUUUUCGUUCCAUAAACUUCUAAUAACAUUCCGAAAUUUUAACAAAGCUGAACAGCGGCUUUGUAUUAUUCUACAGCCACACCCAAUUCUAUCCAGCCACA